CCUGCCUGAAUGACCGGGACAACACCGGGAAACUGGUGCUAAUACCGGAUAAGCUCUUGAGUACACAAGUACAUAAGAGGAAAGGAUUUAACUUUCGCAUUCAGAUGGGUCCGCGUCCCAUUAGCUAGUUGGUGGUGUAAAGGGCCACCAAGGCGACGAUGGGUAGCCGGCCUGAGAGGGUGGGCGGCCACACUGGAACUGAGACACGGUCCAGACUCCUACGGGAGGCAGCAGUGGGGAAUCUUCCGCAAUGGGCGCAAGCCUGACGGAGCAACGCCGCGUGAAUGAAGAAGGCCUUCGGGUUGUAAAAUUCUGUCUUUGGGGAAGAAAAAAAUGACGGUACCCAAGGAGGAAGCCCCGGCUAACUACGUGCCAGCAGCCGCGGUAAAACGUAGGGGGCAAGCGUUGUCCGGAAUUACUGGGCGUAAAGGGCGUGUAGGCGGUCACUUAAGUCAGGGGUGAAAACUGUGGGCUCAACCCACAGCCUGCCUUUGAAACUGGGUGGCUUGAGGACAGGAGAGGGGAGUGGAAUUCCCAGUGUAGCGGUGAAAUGCGUAGAUAUUGGGAGGAACACCAGUGGCGAAGGCGGCUCUCUGGCCUGUUUCUGACGCUGAGACGCGAAAGCGUGGGUAGCGAACGGGAUUAGAUACCCCGGUAGUCCACGCCGUAAACGAUGGGUGCUA
Molecule: ribosomal RNA, 683 nt
Filed under: uncultured bacterium
Lineage: Bacteria
Description: bacterial SSU rRNA
Rfam family: Bacterial small subunit ribosomal RNA
Source: RNAcentral